Molecule: long non-coding RNA, 3381 nt
Organism: Acanthopagrus latus (yellowfin seabream)
Lineage: Eukaryota; Metazoa; Chordata; Actinopteri; Spariformes; Sparidae
Exons: 2
Source: RefSeq, a predicted model, not a curated record
CAUAUACACACAUAUACAUAUAUAUAGAGAAUCCCUCAACCAAUUCUUUUCUCGCUUUGACCGCAAGAUUGUUACUGACACACAUCUGACACUACCAGGGAAGGUCAACGCCAUUCAGCUGGACCAACAUGAGGUCAGAUCCACCCUGCGUCGAGUCAACACGAGGAAAGCAGCUUGUCCAGACGGAGUCACUGGCAGGAUUCUCAAGGCCUAAGCAGACCAGCUAGCAGAGGUUUUCAUCACCAUCUCCAAUCUCUCGCUACUACAAUCUGCAGUCCCCUCCUGCCUGAAGUCUGCAACCAUCAUCCCAGUCCCAAAGAAAGGUACAGUGAACUGCCUGACUAUCGCCCAGUUGCUCUCACCUCCAUAAUCACAAAAUGUUUUGAGACUCAUCCCCUCUCACAUCAAAUCUGCCAUCUCUGCUGACCUGGACCAACACCAGAUUGCUUACCGAGCGAGCAGGUCUAUAGGGAAAGCUGUCAACACAACAAUUUACACAUUUAGAGGAUGAGUCAAUGAUGAGAGUGGAGAAGGAAGGUGUCGUAUUCUGCAUUAUAUCCCUGACUCGCCAUAUUAACAAGGCUAGUAGACUCCAUACCAGCAUUAACUGUAUCACUAGUAGGCUCUCUACACCUGUGGCCUGCCGAGUGCUACAUUCUUGACAUCAAACCUGCUUUAUAAAUAGGUGCUAGAUUAAACAGCAGUGCUGACACCAUUAGGAUGAAGGCUGUCUACUCUCAGCAUGUGGGGGUGACUGCAGAGUCUCUAGUCUCAUCAUUGUUUCAUUAAGGGACCAGAGACAAUUAACUGAUGCUGAUCUUGUUUCUAGCAGCCUGAAAAGGCUAGGCUGUAUUUUGUGAUCUCAGGCUGCUUGUGACAAAUAUCAUUGGCAUCAGCAUGAAUUACAAUGUUGCUGUAGCAUGUGGUGCUCUAUGCCUGGGUUCCGUGUUUCUCCCUGCGUGAUGUCAGCACCCUAAGAUUAGCCUCUACAGUAUGUAGAGGACACCACGGCUGAGCAGGCACAAACUCCACAGAGACUGAGGUAGUGUUAAGGUGAUCAGGGCCGGGGCUAACACCGUCUGUAGUGCCAGUGGUUCAACCUGAGAGAAGCUGCUCUAACUCACGGAUACAUCUCUCUAAUAGAGACACCCUAUCUGCAACUGCAGAACAGUCAGCACACAACACUUUGGCUUUGUUAACUGUGGUGAAAGGCAAAAAUCAGAAAGCUAUGCUAGGUCGAGCAGUACUGAAAGACUGUUACUGCUAUUACAGAAAUAAUGAUAUGGUAGACAUUAUGGUAGACAUCCUACUUGUCUGAACAAGAGCUAGAUAUUGUAACCAAAGUAAAAUGCUGAGGGCAUAUCAUCAGGAAUGACCUUAGUGAUGAUUUUGAUAUUCAGCGCCAGUGUUAUUAAUUACAUGCUCAGGCAAAUAUGCUGGCACGCAAAUUUCAUAUGCGCACUGAUGAAGUUAAAACAGCUCUUUUUAGAGCAUACUGCACUCUGCUUUACCAUGGCUACACCACAGGUGUGCUGUGUAAAGUGAAGAUGAAUAAGAUUAAAGUGGCAUAUAAUGAUGCUCGUAGAAUCUUGUUUAAAUACCCAAGAUGUAAACGUGCUAGCAAGGUGUUUGUGAACUUUAAUGCUCCCACUUUUCAGGCAUUACUUAGGAAUUAGAAAUGUAUAAAUGUAUGUGUCGGCUGAUUGAUUCAAGGAAUGGGAUUAUAAUAUCUUUGACUGACCCUACCCAAAGUGAGACAAGAUACUUCUCCAACUUCAAAUAGUGGACCCAACCCAUGUGUAUGUUUUUUAACCAUUGAGCACACGUUUAUUUAUGUGUAAUCUUAUGUUUGUCUGUUUAUUGUGUGUGUCUUUUAUAUCUGGACCUCGAGUCUGUCAAUAAAGAUAAUUAUUAUGAGAAUGUAGGUGAGCACACUGUGACAUUUUUGGGUGUUCAUUUUUGACAAUGUGGCUUGUGGAACAGUUCAGAAAAAUGGAUAUGUUUACCUUUCUUCAGAUAUUUUGCCUGUCACGUUAAUGGGACUUAAUGUGGUUUGACAUUUGAAAACCCACUGAGCCAAAGGUUUUUGUCUGAUUGGUUUCAGAGGCCUGUGGUGCACUGCAUUACACAAGGCACAAUUAAGCAGUGUUUAUGCAACAUUGAAAGGGAGAUUUAGGUUAAAUUUGGCUAUCAAUAAUAAUCAAUGAUUAUCAGGGAUAAUUAUUAAUGAUGACAAAUAAUAUGAUCCAAUUACAUUAGAUCACCUUGGGGCACCACCCUUGAAGAAGGGAAAACAUAGCAAAUUCACAAAAUCAGUUUCAGAAUAAGGUACUAAACUGUCAGUAUGUAACUCUGAUUAAUAAUUCAUUUAAUAACUAAAACCAAUACUACCAUAACAGGUGUAAUGAUCAAAGGAUUUUGGAGUUGUUGACAGUGUAGAGGUUGGCAACAUUCACUCUUAUACAACAUUAAAUAGACAGCAAGAAGGUUCAAAAGUCCUUAAUCAACACAAAGAUGAAAACACACAAACUAACUAACAUGUAGAGGUGGAUUUCAUUGUUCAAUGUCGAGAUUCAGUUCCCAACAGUCAGUAUAGCAAGAAGAAUUGUUCAUGUUGUUCGUCCAUUCAUUCAGUCGUGCUUCCGGUACAAUAUCGUUUAGCGGUGAAUCACGUAAUGCACAGUUCUCAGCUCCUUGUUCUCAAACCAACACGCUAACGGUCAACAUAACACUGUAGAUCAUGGCAAAUACAUAGCUGCAACCUCAUGAUUAUGUGUACUUUUAGACAACACAACAGUUAACAGCUAAUGCCUGCUAGCCAAGAAUGAGUGACUGACUGAACGAGAACGCCAGGAGAGGAAUCAGUGAAUGAACGAGGUUUGUGUGUGUGUUAAAAACAGUAAGGACAUCAAGUUAUGUCAACAAAUAGUCUGUACUUUAAUACUUUAAGAGGCAUACAGAAAAGAAUGAGAGGUUGGAUGCAAUUUUUAAUGUGAAAAGAGGCAUGAAAGAGCUCUCCUGGCUCACUGUUUGGGUUUUACAACAUUUUCAAAACCCAAUUUUGUUCGAAACCUAACUUUAAAGGAAUCAUUUAAGCAAUCACUGAAAGUGUGUACUACAUGAACAGAAAAAGUUUUGAGCUUUUAAGAGUUUUGAGCUAUCAAAUGAGCAUCUUUGUCCUAAAAGUAAUACAUCUAGUAUAUAUAUAUUUUGACACGACCAACUCCCUUACUGUAUACGUUAUAAGCUACAUUAUAUAACAUGAUAUCUAAAAUCUAAGUAUUAUAAGAAAUGAGAAAAAAUAAUAUCUUUUUGGCAUAAUAAUUAAAGAAAAACAAUGCACCAACAAUUAUAUAGACAGUAAAUGGCAGUAUUUCAUUA